AUGGAAAGGAGGAGAUCGCAGCAGGGAAGUUUUUGUUCUUGUUCACAUGCUAACAAUGGACAAAAUGAAAAGAACUUUUAUGAUCUGGCUCCAAUUAUACUUUCGAGGUUCAAGUCUUCCCAUCCGACUAUCGAUUUACGGCAAUGGAUUGGUCAAGGAAGGAUAAAGAAACUUGGAAAGAACUAUCAUGAUACCUGCCCUGAGAAGCUGAAAUUUGGUUUAACUUUGUGUUGUUUACUGUUUGGUUCUAUAAAAGCUAAGUUUAUAAAAUAUUGUAUGACAGGUGAAUUUAAAUGUUACUAACCAUCUUGGAUGUCCUGCUCUUCUGCUGUACAGCAAUAAAGUCUCUCUAAAUGCAAUGUUUGGGACAGAGUUGCUCUGGGAAAUAUAGUGGUUUGAAAGGUGGCUAUUGUACCCAAG
Long non-coding RNA from Pan paniscus (pygmy chimpanzee), 420 nucleotides. The record is from Ensembl. NCBI's taxonomy places the organism in Eukaryota, Metazoa, Chordata, Mammalia, Primates, Hominidae.